Molecule: ribosomal RNA, 1443 nt
Filed under: uncultured Bacteroidaceae bacterium
Lineage: Bacteria; Pseudomonadati; Bacteroidota; Bacteroidia; Bacteroidales; Bacteroidaceae
Description: 16S ribosomal RNA
Rfam family: Bacterial small subunit ribosomal RNA
Source: RNAcentral
GAUUAACGCUAGCGACAGGCCUAACACAUGCAAGUCGAGGGGUAGCACGUCUUCGGACGGUGACGACCGGCGCACGGGUGAGUAACACGUAUGCAACCUGCCUUCCACUGGAAGAUAGCCCGUUGAAAGACGGAUUAAUAUUCCAUAAUACAUUGAUAUCUCCUGGUAUUAUUAGUUAAAGAUUUAUUGGUGGAAGAUGGGCAUGCGCAGGAUUAGGUAGUUGGUGACGGUAACGGCGCACCAAGCCUGCGAUCCUUAGGGGAACUGAGAGGUUUAUCCCCCACACUGGUACUGAGACAGGGACCAGACUCCUACGGGAGGCAGCAGUGAGGAAUAUUGGUCAAUGGUCGAGAGACUGAACCAGCCAAGUCGCGUGAAGGAAGACGGUACUAAGUAUUGUAAACUUCUUUUAAGAUAGAAUAAAAGACACCACGGGUUGGUGUAUUGCAAGUAUAUUUUGAAUAAGCAUCGGCUAACUCCGUGCCAGCAGCCGCGGUAAUACGGAGGAUGCAAGCGUUAUCCGGAUUUAUUGGGUUUAAAGGGAGCGUAGGUGGUUUCAUAAGUCAGUGGUUAAAUCCCGGUGCUUAACAUCGGUUCGCCAUUGAAACUGUGGGACUUGAGUAUGGACGAGGUACGUGGAAUUCGUAGAGUAGCGGUGAAAUGCAUAGAUAUUACGAAGAACUCCGAUAGCGCAGGCAGCGUACCAGGCCAUUACUGACACUGAAGCUCGAAAGUGUGGGUAUCAAACAGGAUUAGAUACCCUGGUAGUCCACACAGUAAACGAUGAAUACUCGCUGUAUGCGAUAGACAGUAUGCGGCCAAGCGAAAGCGAUAAGUAUUCCACCUGGGGAGUACGCCGGCAACGGUGAAACUCAAAGGAAUUGACGGGGGCCCGCACAAGCGGAGGAACAUGUGGUUUAAUUCGAUGAUACGCGAGGAACCUUACCCGGGCUCGAACGGCUAUAGAAUAGCGAUGAAAGUUGUUAGCCAGCAAUGGCUGUAGUCGAGGUGCUGCAUGGUUGUCGUCAGCUCGUGCCGUGAGGUGUCGGCUUAAGUGCCAUAACGAGCGCAACCCUUACCGUUAGUUACCAUCAGGUAGUGCUGGGGACUCUAGCGGGACUGCCGCCGUAAGGUGCGAGGAAGGUGGGGAUGACGUCAAAUCAGCACGGCCCUUACGUCCGGGGCUACACACGUGUUACAAUGGGCGGGACAGAGAGUUGCUUGCUAGUAAUAGUUGGCUAAUCCCGAAACCCGCUCCCAGUUCGGAUCGAAGUCUGCAACCCGACUUCGUGAAGCUGGAUUCGCUAGUAAUCGCGCAUCAGCCAUGGCGCGGUGAAUACGUUCCCGGGCCUUGUACACACCGCCCGUCAAGCCAUGGAAGCCGGGGGUACCUGAAGUACGUAACCGCAAGGAUCGUCCUAGGGUAAAACUGGUAACUGGGGC